GACGAACGCUGGCGGCGCGCCUAACACAUGCAAGUCGAGCGAUGAAAUUUUAACCGAUCUCUUCGGAGAGAAGAUAAAAUGGAUUAGCGGCGGACGGGUGAGUAACACGUGAGAAACCUGCCUUUCACAAGGGGAUAGCCUCGGGAAACCGGGAUUAAUACCCUAUGACACAUUUCCUUCGCAUGGAAGAAAUGUUAAAACUCCGGUGGUGAAAGAUGGUCUCGCGCCUGAUUAGCUAGUUGGUGGGGUAACGGCCCACCAAGGCCAUGAUCAGUAACCGGCCUGAGAGGGUGAACGGUCACAGUGGAACUGAGACACGGUCCAAACUCCUACGGGAAGCAGCAGUGGGGAAUAUUGCACAAUGGAGGAAACUCUGAUGCAGCGACGCCGCGUGAGCGAUGAAGGCUUUCGAGUCGUAAAGCUCUGUCCUAUGGGAAGAUAAUGACGGUACCAUAGGAGGAAGCCCCGGCUAACUACGUG
RNAcentral lists this ribosomal RNA (480 nucleotides) under uncultured bacterium. RNAcentral describes it as "partial 16S ribosomal RNA". It matches the Rfam family "Bacterial small subunit ribosomal RNA", at positions 28 to 507 of the family's 1533-position model. The record is from RNAcentral.